UUAAAUCAGUGAUUUUUGGUUGCAGGGAAAAGCGAUGCCGUGGCACCAGCUUAGGAAUAACUCAAGUCACCUCUGCUGGAAAUCGGUUUGCUGAAACUACUGAAACAGCAAUUCUUGAAGUUGAAGAAAAGGAGGUUCUGUGCCUUGACCGGAGGAGUGUGGCCCUCUCUUCAAAACCCUCUCUGGACACGCCCUCCUAGCAUCCCCCGGGAAAGAUGCGGCAGCUCAAAGGGAAGCCCAAGAAGGAGACGUCCAAGGACAAGAAGGAGCGAAAGCAGGCCAUGCAGGAGGCCCGGCAGCAGAUCACCACGGUGGUGCUGCCCACGCUGGCCGUGGUCGUGCUCCUGAUUGUGGUGUUCGUGUACGUGGCCACGCGCCCCACCGUCACCGAGUGAGCCGCAGGCGGGGGAGAGCCGCGGAAACAUGGCUGGCGUUGUCAGAGAUUUUCCCGAUGCUGAGCUCUGAGCAGGAGCACCUGUCUUCUCUGCUCUUUGACUUGAUUAAAGUUUUUCCACUUUUCUUGGGAGGGAAUAGGGAGCGUUUUAUCAGUGAAUGUGCCAUACACCUUAUGGUCCACUUCAUGUGCCUUUCAGACUUCAAAGCAGUGUGUGUGUGUGUGUGUGUGUGUGUGUGUGUGUGUGUGUGUGUGUGUGUGUUUCUUUCUCUCUCCUAAAACCCAUGUGCAGCUCCCCCUGGUGAGAGGAGGGGCGUCAGGAUCAUGAAUGAGUUGGAAUCAGUGCUCACCCCACCCCCAUUGUUUCAAACAUGACUCUUUUCCGACAUGUGUCCACAAUUUCCAAAGGGACUGUAUUUCUUCUCUGUGCUUAAUGUGAUUUUAAAGAUGUCGACUCAAAAGUGAAAUAUUUAUUUUUCGAAUAAAGGAGAUAAUAGCCUUUAA
Long non-coding RNA from Myotis brandtii (Brandt's bat), 898 nucleotides. RefSeq lists it as uncharacterized. NCBI's taxonomy places the organism in Eukaryota, Metazoa, Chordata, Mammalia, Chiroptera, Vespertilionidae. The record is from RefSeq and is a predicted model, not a curated record. The transcript has 3 exons.